GGCAAUCUUGGUAACCAGUUACUUAGCCCGUUAUAAGUGAAGACGGAAAAUUUGACAUGUGUGUGCAUAUAUCGUACACAACUAACUUGACAUUUGAAGUGUAAUGACUGUGUGUGAAUAUUCCUAAACCCUAAAAUUCCUAUUGUGUUGAAAGUUUAUAAUAUAUGGAACAUAGACGACCAUGCUUAGCCAACCAGGCAGAAGAGAAGGUUAAUAAUUCAUCCACGAAGUCUGGUCCAUACUCCUUUCUUACAAUGCUUGUAAAUGACGUCAACAUUCCUUUGUGUACAAUCUUUGUAAAUGCGUGACUAUAUUAUCGGAGAGUAGUUGAUUAGUAUCACACAAGUACCAUUUCAGAUUACAUUUUCAUCACUACUUGUACUUUUGGAUGGACUUUACUUGCUAUUUUGUUGAUCCAAUUUUAUGCAUCAUCAUAAGGACUAAAAUGAAAAAUUUCUCAAAUUACAAGGACCAACAAUGUAAAUUUACCUAUUAAUAUUAUGCUCAUAGCUUUGUUAAUUUUCUGUGCAAUUUAAAUGUGGUUGGAAAUUUUUACGUCCAAAAAAAAAAAAAGAACAAAAUGAUGUUUGCUUUACUAGUCUUUUUUCCUACCAUUGCUUGAUCAAUCAUAUAAAUAGGGCUCUCUGCGUUGCAGGACCACAUUUGAGAUAACAAUUUUGAAUUUGCAUGGCUGACCAUUUGCUCUUGCUUCACUAAUGAUUGCCAUUAUGUCUUUCUCGUUUUAACAUGCAGCAUCAUCCAUUCCACUUGUUGUAUUAUACGAAACACUAACUACGCUUGUUAGAGCAUCUUCACGAGGAGAAAAACUUGUACUGAGUUUCCGACCACAUUAUUGGUAGGACAUCUCUUAUUGAAACUCUAGACGAUGUAAGAUUUGUCCUGAUCAGACUAUCUCAAACGAGGCAAACUAGAACCAUAUUGAAUUAGGUUAAAAACAAGGGAAAGUUUGCUUCAAGGGUUUUGAAAAGGUAAGGUUGCCUUUUGGAAUUUCUACUAUAUUGAACAUGAUCCUAACAAACAUGGGAAAAUCUUGACCCAAGUUUUUAUCUUAUGUAAAGACAGGAACAUUUUCCUACAUCUUAUAAACAUGGGAAAAUCUUGAGUUGGAAUUUUAUCAUUUACAAUGAAUUGUAUAGAAAUUUCUCUCUUCUCAAAGUUUGAAGAGAUCCCAAGUUCAAAUCCAUCCGCUCGACCAAAGAACAAAAAGAAAAGAAACAAUGUUACCAUAAUCAAUACAUAAUACUAAGAGCCCACUUCUAUUGGGGUCUGGCUACAAUACUACGUCUCACUCAAUAGUACGGUUUACAAUUCAUAUGCAAGACUUAAACUAUUGAUUUUCGGACCACUAAGGUCCCGUUUGGGAUUGAGGUGAUUUUAAAAAAAGCCACUGUGAAAAAAAGCUGAGGGUCAUUUUUGUGUUUGGUAAACUGAAAAAAAAUGGCUUAUUUUGGAAGCUGCUGUGAGAAUAAGCUGAAAAUCAAAGGAAAAGCUGAAGCUGCUAUUUGCUGCUUUGAAAAAAAGCCAGUUUUUUCAAAGCACACGGAGCUACAGUGCUCCUUUAAUGAAAAGACACACUAUCAUCCUGAUUUUUUUUCCAAAAGCACUUUCACAAAAGUUUACCAAACACUCUACUGGCUUUAUUUCACAGCCGCUUAUUCUCACAGCACAGCCGCUUAUUCUCACAGCAGCUUUUUUUCAAAACACAGCAAUACCAAACCAGCCCUAAGUAGUAUGUACCAUAUAAGAAAAAAUAGGAAAAACAAAAAGAUAAAGAUUGAAGGAUCCAAAGUGUUCCAAU
This 1819-nucleotide long non-coding RNA is filed under the name Malus domestica (apple). RNAcentral describes it as "long non-coding RNA (MDOM_LNC001559)". Lineage: Eukaryota; Viridiplantae; Streptophyta; Magnoliopsida; Rosales; Rosaceae. The record is from RNAcentral.